RNAcentral lists this ribosomal RNA (332 nucleotides) under uncultured Fusibacter sp. RNAcentral's name for it is "bacterial SSU rRNA". It matches the Rfam family "Bacterial small subunit ribosomal RNA", at positions 1052 to 1382 of the family's 1533-position model. The record is from RNAcentral. Lineage: Bacteria; Bacillati; Bacillota; Clostridia; Eubacteriales; Fusibacteraceae.
UCGUCAGCUCGUGUCGUGAGAUGUUGGGUUAAGUCCCGCAACGAGCGCAACCUUGUGUUUAGUUGCAAACAGGUCAAGCUGUGCACUCUAGACAGACUGCCGUGGACAACACGGAGGAAGGUGGGGAUGACGUCAAAUCAUCAUGCCCCUUAUGAUCUGGGCUACACACGUGCUACAAUGGCCGGCACAGCGGGAAGCGAGGCAGUGAUGCCAAGCGGAUCCCUUAAAGCCGGUCUCAGUUCGGAUUGAAGUCUGCAACUCGACUUCAUGAAGCUGGAAUCGCUAGUAAUCGCGCAUCAGCCAUGGCGCGGUGAAUACGUUACCCGGGCCUU